CAGGGUGCUUCUGGGGCACCAGGAGUUACCAGUCCCCUUGGGCUCCCCAUGGGAUCCAAGUAGCAGGUCAUGCUAGGGAGCAGCUAGGGGCAGCCCCAGACUUCAUUGUUAGUUCUGACUGAAUUGGAAGGAUUUAAUUUAUGGUCCCUGAACUGACAAUCAUACAGACAGCAUCUAAGGAUCAUUUGAAAGCACUUGGAAUGUUGCAGUAGAUAUUUG
RNAcentral lists this long non-coding RNA (219 nucleotides) under Anser brachyrhynchus (Pink-footed goose). Its description in RNAcentral is "lncRNA (ENSABRG00000013271.1)". The record is from RNAcentral. Lineage: Eukaryota; Metazoa; Chordata; Aves; Anseriformes; Anatidae.